GCGGCUCAGGUUUUAUGGCACGGAACCGUCCAUUCUAACCCUAAACCCCCGGCGCAGCCAGACCGGUGGAGGAAGCCGCCAGCCCACCACCACAGCAGCCAUGUUGCGCCGCGCCUCCCAGCUCCUCCGCACCAUCCCCACCGCCACCGUGUUCCCCCGCCGCCUCCCGCAACCGCACCGGCACCCGCUUCCAGCCCCACCCGCCCAUCUCCUCCCCGCCCCCAGGCAACCGUCGUACUUCUACGCCACCGAGUCAGCGGCGGCGCCGGCGGCGCGGCCACCAAAGGUGCCGCGGCCACUGAGGACGGCGGGGAGCCUGCUGAGGCUGAACGACAUCCGCGAUAACCCCGGCGCGACGCAGCAGAAGACGCGCAAGGGCCGCGGGAUCGGCUCCGGGAAGGGCAAGACGGCGGGGCGCGGGCACAAGGGCCAGAAGGCGCGCGGCACCGCUCGCUUCGGCUUCGAGGGCGGCCAGACCCCGCUGCGCCGCCGUCUCCCCCGCCGCGGCUUCAAGAACCGCUUCUCACUCACGUUCCAGCCCUGUGGACUGGGGAAAAUUGCGAAGCUCAUCAAUGCUGGAAAAAUUGAUUCCUCUGAAUUGAUCACAAUGAAGACCCUGAAGGAUACAAGUGCCAUUGGGAAACAAAUAAAGGAUGGGAUUCGGUUAAUGGGUCGUGGUGCAGAAGAAAUCAAAUGGCCAAUUCAUCUCGAGGUAUCAAGGGCGACUGCAAGGGCGAAAGCUGCAGUUGAAGCAGCAGGUGGAACUGUAAGAUUGGUGUACUACAACAAGCUUGGGUUCAGGGCACUUCUCAAACCUGAGUGGUUUGCAAAGAAGGGCCGCCUUAUACCAAAAGUGGCGAGGCCUCCACCCAAGCAACGAGACAAGGUUGAUAGCAUUGGCCGACUACCUGCUCCCACAAAGCCACUUCCCUUCACAUCGGAGGAAUUAGAGUUUACUGCCAAGCGUGAAGCUGCUAAAGUGAUCGCUGCAUAGGAGGGAGUACAAAUCACUGAAGAAGCCCAUCCGAACUUUUAUUACUUACAUAAGUCCUGCACCGGGCAUUUAUAACAAUCACCUGCUCUUCCCUAUAGGUGCAUUCCUUGUGGGAUCCUUGUGUUUCCUUGUCAUUUGUGCUACGCGGGAAUGACAUUGUCUUCUUCUGGUGGCAGUAGUACCUCCUGGUAAGCACCAGGGCUGGCGGGUAAAAUAUCCUGUAACUGUCUUUUGAGAGAUCAGUUCAUUGUUUUCGUUAAUAGAAACUUUUUCUCUAGGACAAUACUUCAGGAAUGUCUGCCAAACACUAUAGGACAAAAGAUGGCUUUUGGUGUACUAAGUAUUAAGAAAAAAAAAGGAGCGUCUAUCAAAAAGGAAGAAAAAAACAAGGGAUAAUGACCCCAAUAGCCAACGAGCCUUCCCUGUUAAGGGUCAAUUUUUGUUGCCACGAGCAUUGCAAAUUUAAAACAGCAUAGUUAGCGAGCAUGACAACUAUGCUGUAGUUUUGUUUUUCAUCAUAAAAUUGCCAGUGCUUGCAAAUUUAAAUCGUCAUCUUUGCC
This 1554-nucleotide ribosomal RNA is filed under the name Triticum aestivum (bread wheat). RNAcentral's name for it is "partial small subunit ribosomal RNA". The record is from RNAcentral. Lineage: Eukaryota; Viridiplantae; Streptophyta; Magnoliopsida; Poales; Poaceae.